Molecule: non-coding RNA, 28 nt
Filed under: Rattus norvegicus (Norway rat)
Lineage: Eukaryota; Metazoa; Chordata; Mammalia; Rodentia; Muridae
Source: RNAcentral
UGCCCCAGUUUCUAACAGGAACCUUUGG